Molecule: unclassified non-coding RNA, 255 nt
Filed under: uncultured fungus
Lineage: Eukaryota; Fungi
Description: sequence contains ITS2
Rfam family: 5.8S ribosomal RNA (bases 1-52)
Source: RNAcentral
AACGCACAUUGCGCCCUCUGGUAUUCCGGAGGGCAUACCUGUUUGAGCGUCAGUUCUCUCUCAAAAAAAGUAUUUUUUGGUGUUGCUCGUACUCUUUUAGAGUUGAGUGAAAUGAAUUGGCAAGGCAGUUCUAGCUUAUCAACGUAUUAGGUUUUACCAUUUCGUUGGAAUAGCAAAAACAAGCCGGGCGAAAUAACCGGGUUUUUACCCAUUUUAUUUGACCUCAAAUCAGGCAGGACUACCCGCUGAACUUAA